This 253-nucleotide ribosomal RNA is filed under the name uncultured bacterium. RNAcentral's name for it is "partial 16S ribosomal RNA". It matches the Rfam family "Bacterial small subunit ribosomal RNA", at positions 524 to 776 of the family's 1533-position model. The record is from RNAcentral.
UACAGAGGUCUCAAGCGUUGUUCGGAUUCAUUGGGCGUAAAGGGUGCGUAGGCGGUAGGGUAAGUCUGGUGUGAAAUCCUGGAGCUUAACUUCAGAAAUGCACUGGAUACUGCCCUGCUAGAGGACUGGAGAGGAGAUUGGAAUUCACGGUGUAGCAGUGAAAUGCGUAGAUAUCGUGAGGAAGACCAGUGGCGUAAGCGAAUCUCUGGACAGUUCCUGACACUGAGACACGAAGGCCAGGGGAGCAAACGGG